RNAcentral lists this ribosomal RNA (301 nucleotides) under uncultured bacterium. RNAcentral's name for it is "partial 16S ribosomal RNA". It matches the Rfam family "Bacterial small subunit ribosomal RNA", at positions 509 to 809 of the family's 1533-position model. The record is from RNAcentral.
CAGCAGCCGCGGGAAUACGUAGGUGGCGAGCGUUGUCCGGAAUCAUUGGGCGUAAAGGGAGCGCAGGCGGGCAUGUAAGUCUUUCUUAAAAGUGCGGGGCUCAACCCCGUGAUGGGAAAGAAACUACAUGUCUUGAGUACAGGAGAGGAAAGCGGAAUUCCCAGUGUAGCGGUGAAAUGCGUAGAUAUUGGGAGGAACACCAGUGGCGAAGGCGGCUUUCUGGACUGCAACUGACGCUGAGGCUCGAAAGCCAGGGGAGCGAACGGGAUUAGAUACCCCUGUAGUCCCUGUCUCUUAUACA